AAACUGCAAUCAAAUAAAAUUAAAAGUAAAUGUAAGAAACGGUUUUUAUUUUUUUUGCAUUUUCCAUACUGUCCCUUUUUUUGAAGUUUUUUGAUUGCAGUCUCUUCUCUGCUGCCAUGGUCAUACUUGUGUUUGCUUCUCCACUUCAAUCAAAUUAAGUGUUUCUGGAUCUAUUCUGUUAUAAUCUGCUCUUACCUGGUUACUUUCGUUUUCCCUGGUUGAUUAUUUUUCAUUUGUGUUUUCCCGUCUGUGUACGUUGUUAGUUCUGUUAUCCUCCGCUUUAUUUUGUGUUCGUUAAGGUUUAUUUUGGACUUUCGCUUUUUGUUCUAGUUAGAUUUGUGUGUGUGUUUUUGCCUGCCCGGUUUCCUUCUCCCCCGGCGGCUUGGAGCGGUACUGUUCCCGGAGAUUGCAGUGGAAGCCAACCAAUGGAUCGCUGGAGGGCGGACCUCACUCACCUGUGCCUCAUUUUCCACCUAAUCAGCUACUGCUUAUAAACGCCGGCUUUUUCACCACCAGUCACCAGAUUGUCUGCUUGUCACCGCGCCCAGCGAUCCAUUCACCAUCUGGCUUCCCUGCGCUCCUGUUGGUUCCUGAACUAGGCUCCUUGCUCCCGUGACCCCGGUUUACCUCUCACUGCCACUGCUUGUUCUUCCUCUGCCCUGGACGGCUUUGGACACCUACCCCUCUUGGACCUGGACACAUCACAGCUCCUCAUCUCCCAAAGAACCGCUCCAGCCGCUUCCUCAGUGUCCCCUGUUUGGACUUAUCGCUAUUUUCCCUGUCUUCCUGUAUUUCAAUAAAUAUUCAUUGCCAA
Long non-coding RNA from Trichomycterus rosablanca, 814 nucleotides. RefSeq lists it as uncharacterized. The transcript is spliced from 2 exons. Lineage: Eukaryota; Metazoa; Chordata; Actinopteri; Siluriformes; Trichomycteridae. The record is from RefSeq and is a predicted model, not a curated record.